Molecule: long non-coding RNA, 990 nt
Organism: Ictidomys tridecemlineatus (thirteen-lined ground squirrel)
Lineage: Eukaryota; Metazoa; Chordata; Mammalia; Rodentia; Sciuridae
Source: RefSeq, a predicted model, not a curated record
CCCGCCCACAGCCUAUCCCUGCCCGCAGCGCUCGCCCCGCCCACAGUCCCCCUGACCCGCUCCGCUGCCGGCUCCUCAGCCCCGCCCCUCCGCAGCGUAGCCCUGCUGUCCCGCCGCCCUGCUGCCCAGCUGACCUCCUGACCAGCCCGCUCUGCCCACUGGCAGAGGCCGCGGUGGGCCGCCUAGCACAAGCAGCUCCCAGGACCUGCGCUGCCUGACAGGCACAGUUCAAGGGGAGCGUAGGCUCAGGAGGAUACUAACGCGUCGCCCAGGAAGGUGAGGACUGCGUGAUGUCCCCUGUUCCACCGGGCGUCCGAUUCUGUCCCACCUCCUGUCCGACCGCACAAACCCUGUCUCUCGGCAGUGUGAGGGCUCUGUAUUCUGCGUUUAUGCUUCCAGCGAAUGCUUUUAUGGCUUUUAAAUUUACAUCCACUUUUUACCGUUUUGCAUACUCUUCAUUCUUUGUGUAGAUCUGGAUUUCCACCCGGUGCGUACUCCUGUCUGAAGAACUCCUUCUUUAGUAUUUAUUUUUGCACCAUUAAGCUGGCAACUAAUGCUUCAUCUUUUAUGUAUCCAAAAAUCUUUAUUUAUCUUCACAUUUGAAAGAAUUUACCACGCUCAAAUGCGGGGAGGUUAUAUAGACUACCAGUCUCAAGUCAGGCUGUAUGGCUUAUCAAUAAAUACUGAACUGCAUACGUUUUUUUUCCUUCAGUACUGCCCCUUGAACUCAGGGGUCCUCUACCACCGACCUACAUCCCCAACCCUUUUAAUUAAUUUAUUUAUUUUUGAAACAGUGUCCUGCUAAAUUGCUGAGACUGAACUCCAAUUUGCAAUCCUCCUUCCUCAGCCUAGAGUGAAGUUGCUGGGAUUACAGGCCUUCCAUAACAUACCCAAACUAAACUGGAUUCUUGUAAUUUGCUUUCAGGUCUCCCUACAACAACCUACAAUAAAUUCACCCUCAAUUAUUUAAUAAAUGUACAAGUAUUAGAA